AUUGAUUGACUUGCAUAUGUUAAACCAUCCCUGCAUCCCUGGUAUGAAACCCACUUGAUCAUGGUGGAUUAUCUUUUUGAUAUGCUGUUGGAUUCAGUUAGCUUGGAUGUAGCAUUUCUUACUAUUCCAAUCUGUGGAAUGUAUUGGUUUGAAUAAUGAAAACAUGUUCUACCUUCACUGCUUAGCACUUCAUUUCUUUAACAGCCUUCCCAACAGGGCAGCAUAAAAGCAGGAGCCCUGCUAGUCUCCCCUUAACCUGGAAUCCCCCCUUCUCCACAGCUCGCUCAUUGGACAGGAUAGACUGGGCACACAGGCCUCAGGGUAAGGACAUGCUCCGUCACCUAGAGGUGCAGUGCCUGGGAAGGCCAACCGUGGAGGGGCGCUGCCAGCUUUACAGUGAUAGAGGUGUUCAGAGGGACUGACCACCUAUUCAUAAGGCUGUGCUUUGUUGGUGACGUCAAGGAUUGUUUUGCAGAUUGUUGAGGGGGGACAAUCCCAAGACCUCACCUGGUCCUGGUCCUGGCUUUGCACAAAGGCAAUAAGAGAGGAAUGCUGGUCAGGGCUGACCUGUUGCUGUGCUGGGGAGGAAGGUGCUGGGCUGAAAUUCAGGAGGCUGAGGAUGCAGCAGUCCCAUAGGAGGUGCAUGACCUUCAGCAUACGGUUUCUUAAUUGAUGAUAAAUGGAAAUGAUAAAUCAUUGACUAUUUUUUCCGUCAUUGGACAUCUACUCUCUACUGCUCGUGCUGUUCCUAUCUUUAUGGGGAAGAUGGAGGAUCAAUGAGUGUGUGCUGCACUGAGUGGAAGGAAGGAGACCUGUGACAAAAAUUAAAGGAGGAUGAGGGAUGGGAGGGCCCUUCAUCCAGGUGCUCGCAGAGUCCUCCUGAGGAGGAAAGCCCCGUGGCUCCCUGGGGAAGGAGCCAUGAGGGCUGCGUGACUCCCACAGUGAAGUGUGUGGUAUGUCUGAGGACACCCAGGCUGGUCUGUGAGGAGCCAGUGGAGAGUGAGAAGCAGCAAGGCCAGGAGGGUGGCUGGAGGCCAGGCUCUGGGUCAUUCUCCGUGUGAUGGAAACAGCCAGAGCCCAGUGGGCUGGGAGGUGCAGGACGUGGUGGCUGAUAACAGAACAAUGCAGACAGAAGUGCCAGGUGUCAAAUCCUUACUUUGUUCUGGGCAUUGUGCUAAAACUUCCCGUGGCUCAUCCCAUUUAGGGACUGAAAGUUGCAGAGGUUUAGGAAACUCACCCAGAAUACUGGAGCCCCCAUCUCCUGCCCCAGUGCUGUCCCCCUUCUCUCCCAGCCACCACCUGUUUCAGGGGAACACACAGAAGUGGUAACCUUUUAUGGAUAGGGAAGUAAAUUUUGCUGUUUUUGUUAUUCACAGAAAAAAACCACUGGCUCCUGUGGGUUGGGAAGGUGAAAUACCAGAAAUAUUUCAUGUGGUUAUUUCUACCAAUGUGAAUCCUAUAGUAUUGAAAUGCACAGGUUAGGAUUUUUGGCCAAUUUACUCAGCAUUCCGGGGUAGGGAUGAAGGCUUUUAUUUAGUAAUUUUUUUUGAGACAGUUUCACUCUUGUUGCCCAGGCUGAAGUGCAACAGUACUCUCUCAACUCACUGAAACCUCAGCCUCCCAGGUUCAAGCGAUUCCCCUGCCUCAGCCUCCCAAGUAGGUGUGAUUAUAGGCUCAUGCCAACAUGCCCGGAUGAUUUUUUGUAUUUUUAGUAGAAAUGAAGUUUCACCAUGUUGGUCAGGCUGGUCUCGAACUCCUGACCUCAGGUGAUCUGCCCACCUUGGCCUACCAAAGUGCUGAGAUUAUGGGCGUGGGGCCACCACGCCCAGCCUAAAGGCUUUUAAAAUUCACUCGUAUAAGUUGACUUAGUUUUCUUUAACCUUGUAGAAAAAUAUAAAAAUGGCCAUCUAUCACACAAAUAACUUUUUAAUAGUGAGUUUUUCUAAUUGAUGAAUUAUGUACUUUUCAUUUACUAAUUAUUAAUUGCUUACAUUUGAAGUGUCUUAUGAAUAUUUAAUUGCAUAGAUGAAGAUUACUAGUCAUAGGCAUUUCACUAAGCAAUACUCAUUAAGCACAGCAUGGAUUCAUGUGAUGUCAAGGGGCUAUUUUAUUUGGUGAAAGGAAAAAGAACAAGAACGAAUGCAAGAGCUGGACCAAUGGAGACACUGACAGUGAUCUGUCUAAGAUCUAAAUCACUCUGUUGUCUUCCCGGCCUCCUUAUCAUCCUCAUCACUGUCGUCAGCAUUGUUGGGUCCUUUUAGCACAGAUUUCUCAAAAUGGGCAACUCCGUAACAUUUGGAAACUUAGGAGAUCGUGUAAUUUGUAAGAGGGCGACUUGGGAUUACCUAUCGAUUUUAAAAUUCUAAUAACCUGGUAAAUUUCAUCCCAUGUGUAGAGUCUUUUAUGUAAAAUAUUUCCACUACUAAGAUAAAUAUGUGCAUGGGGAUUUUCUAUGUUGCAGUGUUUUUACGGAAUAGAAAAUUGGGAAAAACCAAAUUUCCAUCACAAAGAAAAUAGUAAUACACUGAAUAAUAAUACAGCGCGAAUAUUAUGCUGACUUUAAACAUCAAAAAAGAGCUCAACUUCUGACUUCCGAUGAUGGUGUUGAAGUAGGUCACAGCUGGUUGACAUUUGAUUAUCGUGUGGGAACCCUGGAAGUCUGCCUUAGUGAUUUUACAUGUGGCUAAAUUUAGCUAAUGAAAAGCUAUUCGAAGUAUGGGAAAAUGGAACUUUAAAACACCUGUUUCACGUAGAGCCCACGCAUUCAUCUGCCUGCCCAUCACUCUGUCUGUCCACAUGGGCAUCAUUUGUUAGUGGAACUGAGUGCCCACUGUCGAGCUGACAAGCCCAUACCUCCCUGUUCCUAGUCACACAUUAAUUCUUCAACAAAGCCCUUUUGAUAGAUUGUGAUUAAGCUUAGCCGCUAUUUCCAAUUGCUUCCCCAAACAUACUUCUCACUGUUCUCCCAUCAUACCCUUCAACCCAUCCAUGCAGGUUUCCUUUGCUUUUCCCACCUUACACCAAACUCCCUAUUUUUACUCCCACUUUUACCUCCUCUCCAAGACAAAACAAAACUAGCAUUUUAAAACUUAGUUGUAAUAUUUCUUCCUUCAUGAAAAUUUCUCCAACAGCCACUCCCAUGGCCCUGUGUGUUCUCCAUAUUUUUAAAUAUUGGGUAUAAGGUUGAGCACGUCAGGAUAUGCUGUUUCGGGCUGCACACUGUUUUGUUUGUAUUGAUUCUUCCUAUUGGAGGCGGAGUGGUCAUUGCCUUCUCCUCCUCUGGGGAGUUUAUGCCAGUGCUCUUGAGUAAGAUUGACAGACAGUUUUUCUUUUUAUACUUAAUUUUUUUGUAUGGUAUUGAGAUAACAAUAUUCUAAUCAAAUUAAAUUGAAAGCAGCCCCCUUCAUUAAUUUUAUGGAAAUCUUGCAAUCAGAUUAGAAUGACAACUCCAUUGUAAUUUUGGAUUUAGUCACUACUACUACUAGGGCUGUGUUUGUGACAGAGAGAAAGAGAGAAAGGGAGAGAAAGGGAGAGAAAGAGACAAAGACCGGUACUUCUUAACUACUGAUUAAAUUUACAUAGUGGCUACUGAACUAUUUAGAAUUUUUAUUUCUUCAUGAGUUCAUUUUAGAAAAUUGUACUUUCUAGGAUCCUAUUUUAUACACAUUUUAAAAUAUAUUGGCAUAAUAUCCAUAUUCAUAUAUAUUUGUAUACAUAACACGAAUACAUAUGUAGAUUUGAAUACAUAUAUACCUAUUCAUAAUAUCCACUGAUUGUUUUGUAAUCUCUGCUACUUCUGUGGUUAUGUCUUCCUAUGAAUUUCUGAUGAAUUUUGAUGAUUUCCCUUUUUUCUUGAUAAAUCUCACUAAUGACUUUUGUAUUAGACUUUUCUCCAAAACAACUGUUAGCUUCCUUACUUCUCCCUGAUAUUGUCCUUAUUUUCUAUUUCAUCAAUUUCUCUUCUCAUCUGUUGUCCUUCCAUUACAUUAUCUGCGUUUAUUCUGAUGUUACUUUUUUCUAACUUGAGUUGUAUGCUUAAUUAACUUUCGGCCUUUCUGACUUUCCAAUGUAAAUAACUAAGCUUAUAGAUUGCUCUCACAUAACGCUCUUUGCUGCAUCUCACAAUUUUCAGUUUGCACACAUUUUGUUAUUUAUUCAUAAGUAUUAUCUAAUUGCAUUAUGAUUUUUAUUGACAUUCAAGUUUAGAAGUAUGCUCUGCAUUUUCUAGUGUUGCAACCAAUCAAUGGUCUUGUGCGCUAGUCUUUUCAGUUUUUGCCAGUCUCCUUUAGGAGAGAUUUUGAGGUGUUGGAUUGAAGUGUUACUGCUUUGCAACUUUGCUAAAUGUUGCCAGAUUUCCCUCCACAGGUGCCUAAUGGGGCUUUCUUAGCAAGAAUGUGUGCACAGCCACGCUGACAGAGUUACAUGUGAAACUUCUAAAAUUUUGUCUCUAAAGUGGUUAAGGUGAUUUUUAAAAUUUUUUCAAUGAGAUUAAAAGCCAUUUGUUUUAUUUAUAUUGUUUGUUCAUGUCUCCAACAUGCUUACAUGUGAUUGCUGCCAGUCUUCUUCCCUACAUUUAGAGACUUGUUACAUUUUAAGUAUAUUAAAACUUUUGUGAUAUGCCUGGUCAUAUUUUUUUUUCCUGUUACCAUGUAUCUUUUGUACUUUUUAAAUUGAACUUCACGUCACACUGAGGUUUUCUAGUUUUAUAUAAUAAAACAUUGUAAUUUCAUUGUGUUCUCAGGGGCUACCACUUUCAAGGCUGCUGUUGACUUUCUACAGUAACAUGUGCUGCAUUGAUGAGGAGCAGCCAGUGUCUCCCAUGUUUUGUAAUAAUUGUUCUUUGUUUGUUUCAGAUAACCCUGAGAAAUAUAUUGGCUGUCUCCACAGGCUUAUGAUUUCUUCUCAGGUUUGAAAAAUGCACCCAGCUGAGCAACACAGGACUGACACAUUGAGGGAGCAGCUGCAGGACACAUCCAAGCAGCCUCUUACGGCUGGAGGCUUCAUCUAUGGCUGGCGUUUUCAUCUAUGGCUGCGGGCUUUAUCCAUGGGCUGGAGACUCUAUCCACUACUGGGGGCUUCAUCUAUGUCUGGGGGCUUCAUCUAUGGCUGGAGGCUUCACCUAUGGCUGCGGGCUUUAUCCAUGGGCUGGAGACUUUAUCCACUACUGGGGGCUUCAUCUAUGUCUGGGGGCUUCAUCUAUGGCUGGAGGCUUCACCUAUGGCUGGGGGUUCAUCUAUAGCUGGAGGCUUCAUCUAUGGCUAGCGGCUUCAUCUAUGGCUGGCAGCUUCAUUUAUGGCUGCGGGCUUUAUCCAUGGACUGUGGGCUUCAUUCAUGGCUGGGGGCUUUAUCUAUGGGCUGGAGACUUUAUCCACGACUGGGGGCGUCAUCUAUGGCUGGGGCUUCCUCCACAGGUUGGGGGCCUCAUCCAUGGCUGGUUUGCCCGCCGAUCUCUUUCUGAGCCACUGAAACAGAUUAUUAAACAGAAAGAGUGGAUUUAAGGAAACACUGAGAUGCCCCUGUCUGUUUGUGAACAGGCGUGUUGGGUCUAAAGCCUUUCUCUGGUAGCUUUCCAGAAGAUCGCCCCGCCUUACACUUGCUUUCUGCGGGUUCCAGAGGCUUCCAUGUGAAAGGAGCCUCUCUCCCUACUCUGCCUCACCCUACACCAGCUCUCCUGUAACCCACCGACUUUGUAAACGCUUUCUUCCACCUUCACCUCAUUGAAUUCAGAACUUUGGAAAAUAAAAAUUCUAAAAACGUGGGAGUGGGUAUGAUCUGGAAAUCCCUGCUGUAAUAUUUUUAACGGAAUCUACUGGAAACUAUUAGUUUAUGUUUUAAAUAAAACCAUCCCUUAGCAUUUAGAAUAUCAAGCCAUUCAUUUUCUAGCAGAACUUUUAGAUAUAAUUCAAAUACCAUAAAUUUAUACAGUGUACAACUCAAUGGUUUCUAAUAUAUUCAGAGGUCUGCAAAAAUUACCACAAUUGAAUUUUAGAUAUUAUCGUUUGUUGACAUCCUUACAUGCAUACAGAUGUAGAUAUAUGUAAUUCUAAUAUCUUGAAUAUUAUAUUUAACAUUGUACUAUAUCAUCAUCUGUGUCUUUAUAUUGCUAUUUUGUUAUUCUGAAUGACGAUGAUCUCCAGGUACCUUUAUACAGGUUUAAAAUACACCUUUUUACAACUCAAGAAAUUAAAUUGUUUCUAGUAAAUCACAUAAGAAACACAUAUGCUAUUGUUAUAAAAAUGCAAAUAUUGCUUAGGUCUGUAUAAUGAAAUGUAUCACCGCCAGCGCCCAGCCCACUCAGUCAUCCACAUCCACUUACACACAGAUAGACAUGCCCAUGUUUUUACAUAACAUGAUGCUGCUCUAUGUGUUGUUCCCUGACUGGCUUUUCCACAUAAAAUAGAAUUUGGUGAAAAUUCUAUCUGUACAUAUAGGUCUCCCUCAUUCUUAUUUAUAGUUGCAUCAUUAUUCAACAGGGUAUUUUACCAUAAUUUGGUCACUUUUCACUGUGGAAUUUUUAUGUUGGAUUCAGUUAUCUGUUACCAUUACCUACACUAUCCUGGGCAUACCUGUAUAUUCAUCUUCUUGGUACCUUAGUUAAGUGGGAUUUUUCUUUUAUGAUUGAUUUCUAAAAGAAUACUGAGGCAAAGUAAGAAUAUUGAAUAUUUUGAUAAAAAUCUGUGUUUCAAAAAAAUGUAAUGAUCAUAUACUCCCAUCAUCAGUAUAUGAGAGUUCCUAUUUCCACACACCCUUAAUUAAUUACAAAGGAAAUGACCAAUGCUAAUCUUGGCCAAUUUUGUAAGAAAUAUUUCCACUUUUAAUUUGGAUCUCUCCACUUACGGGAGAGAUUGUGCAUUUUUGUAUAUGUUUAUUGGCCAUUUGUAUUUCUGAGAAUUUCAUAAUGAUAUGUUUUACUAGUUUUGUAAUUCAUGUAAUGAUAUUUUUCAUAUAUUCUGUAAAUUUAUUUCAUAUAAUUAGCAAGUUUCUUAAGGUCUGUAUCAUAACUUUUGUAUUUGUCUUGAAGAAACUUUCAUUUUUGCAUAGUCAAAUUGUUCAAUAUUUUCCCUAUCAUGUCUGGAUUUUGUGACUUGUUUUCAACAAUAUGUCCUUUUAGGGCUUUAUUGAUUUGUUUAAAGAACGUACUCAACUCCUACAUUCUUUAAUAAUUUACUUUCUCCCAUUACAGUACAUGGACAUCACUAAUUCCAACUAAUGUAGAUCAAAUGUAUCAUUUGAAUUUCUGUGUAGUAAUACUCAUUAUAGGUAUGUUCUGAUUUCUUUAACUCUUCCCUAUUAGAUGGAUAUUAAGGUUGUUUUUAAAAAUUCCUACCACUAAUGACUUUUCAAUAAUCAUCAAUAUACAUGGA
This is a non-coding RNA of Chlorocebus sabaeus (green monkey), 7364 nucleotides long. The record is from RefSeq and is a predicted model, not a curated record. NCBI's taxonomy places the organism in Eukaryota, Metazoa, Chordata, Mammalia, Primates, Cercopithecidae.